This 439-nucleotide ribosomal RNA is filed under the name uncultured bacterium. RNAcentral describes it as "partial 16S ribosomal RNA". It matches the Rfam family "Bacterial small subunit ribosomal RNA", at positions 339 to 795 of the family's 1533-position model. The record is from RNAcentral.
CUACGGGGUGCACCAGUGGGGAAUAUUGCACAAUGGGGGAAACCCUGAUGCAGCAACGCCGCGUGGAGGAUGACGCAUUUCGGUGUGUAAACUCCUUUUAUAUCCCAAGAUAAUGACGGUAGGAUAUGAAUAAGCACCGGCUAACUCCGUGCCAGCAGCCGCGGUAAUACGGAGGGUGCAAGCGUUACUCGGAAUCACUGGGCGUAAAGGGCGCGUAGGCGGGUUGUCAAGUCUUGAGUGAAAUCCAACGGCUCAACCGUUGAACUGCUUGAGAAACUGGCAGCCUAGAGUAAGGGAGAGGUAGAUGGAAUUGGUGGUGUAGGGGUAAAAUCCGUAGAGAUCACCAGGAAUACCCAUUGCGAAGGCGAUCUGCUGGAACUUUACUGACGCUGAGGCGCGAAAGCGUGGGGAGCAAACAGGAUUAGAUACCCCGGUAGUC